Non-coding RNA from Drosophila melanogaster (fruit fly), 314 nucleotides. NCBI's taxonomy places the organism in Eukaryota, Metazoa, Arthropoda, Insecta, Diptera, Drosophilidae. The record is from Ensembl.
GGAAAUAGCUGACAUCCAAGAGGGGAUGAUUUAUUAGUAGGGCGAUCGUUAUGGGAGAGAACGAGACGGCUGCGCCGAUCGUGGCUCCGCCUCUCCUCAUGGAGCUCCUCGCACAACCGUUAUCCAGGCUAUACUGAAUGCACAGGGAUCCCAGGAGCCAGGAGCCAUUGACCACGGAGAACCCCAGAACCCCCAACAAAAAUUACCGACAGAGAGCGGAAAACUCUGGCACCGUGGAAAUUCCAGUGGCGCAGGGGAAAUGCUCACUGCCACAGGAGAAUAAAAAACAAAAGCGACUGCCAAUCGAGGAACAU